UCUCUCUCUCUACAUAUAUAUCCUUUAUGUAUAUAAAAGUUGUGAGUAUAAAACAAUUUUGAAUUUAUUUAAUUGGGUUAUUAAUAGUUAAGAUGUAUUUUGUUUAUAAUCACAUAUGUAUGGACUUCGCUGAAUUAAGUUUUGUGGUGAAUGCAUGUUGAUUGUCAAUCAUGCAACUAUAACCAUGUAUGCAAUUUAAUGCAUGUUGAACAAUUGAUCAACAUUUGGCCCAAUCAUCUCCUUGGGUGUGUGAGUAAGGAGAUUCAAUAGGCAUUUAUCAAUGAUUCAUACUUGUAGACAUGUGAAGUAGAAGCACUUUCAUUUAUAGUUACUCUUUGAAGACAUUUGGAAAAUUAAUCGAAUUGGCCACCCAUCAACCAGAGCUCGUUCGGGUUUUACCUUCCAACUAUACAUACAUCAUUUGAGAGAUAAAAGAGAAUGGAAUCAACAUCACAGUGUAAUAAAAAACGUCCGCAUAGCGCGUUCUACUGAGAGAACAGUUCUUCGAUCAUCUACAAAUCACUUUUGUAGGUCAACGAUCGUUGUGCCAGCUGCUGCAUUGUUGUUCUUCAAUCUUAAAUGCUACUUCCAGAGUAUGUGCAGCUCAGCAAUGGCUGUGUCAGUAGUUUUUGAAUUUGCGCUUGUUACUGGGCUUGAACAUUAUAAGUGCAUGGUGAAUCUACGAGGCCGAUUGUGAGUUAGAGAAAGAUAUGGAGGUCGUAAAACAAUUGUGUGAUAGUGAUUUGCACGUGCCAAUUUCAGGUUACUAAUUAUUACACGAGCGUUACUGGUUGCCACAUGAAAUUGGUUGCCCCAAUUCCUGCUUAAUGUCAUCGACAUGGGAAGCAACAUGUUGAUAGUGUACGUCUACUUGGAGCAUUCUACAACUAUAACAUUCAUGCCAUAUUGAUUACAAUCCAUGACAUAAUGAAACACAAAAUUUAUCCUAAUGACAAUGUGAUUCAUGUCGAUAUCAUCAAGGGUACCUAAUUUGUCAAUCAAGCAAAUUCAAAAGGAUUCCCAAAA
Long non-coding RNA from Erigeron canadensis, 1026 nucleotides. RefSeq lists it as uncharacterized. NCBI's taxonomy places the organism in Eukaryota, Viridiplantae, Streptophyta, Magnoliopsida, Asterales, Asteraceae. The transcript has 3 exons. The record is from RefSeq and is a predicted model, not a curated record.